RNAcentral lists this ribosomal RNA (490 nucleotides) under uncultured bacterium. RNAcentral describes it as "partial 16S ribosomal RNA". It matches the Rfam family "Bacterial small subunit ribosomal RNA", at positions 29 to 507 of the family's 1533-position model. The record is from RNAcentral.
AGUGAACGCUGGCGGUAGGCCUAACACAUGCAAGUCGAACGCCAGCACAGGAGAGCUUGCUCUCUGGGUGGCGAGUGGCGGACGGGUGAGGAAUACAUCGGAAUCUGCCCAGUCGUGGGGGAUAACGUAGGGAAACUUACGCUAAUACCGCAUACGACCUUCGGGUGAAAGAGGGGGAUCGCAAGACCUCUCGCGAUUGGAUGAGCCGAUGUCGGAUUAGCUAGUUGGCGGGGUAAUGGCCCACCAAGGCGACGAUCCGUAGCUGGUCUGAGAGGAUGAUCAGCCACACUGGAACUGAGACACGGUCCAGACUCCUACGGGAGGCAGCAGUGGGGAAUAUUGGACAAUGGGCGCAAGCCUGAUCCAGCCAUACCGCGUGGGUGAAGAAGGCCUUCGGGUUGUAAAGCCCUUUUGUUGGGAAAGAAAUCUUUCAGGCUAAUACCCUGGGAGGAUGACGGUACCCAAAGAAUAAGCACCGGCUAACUUCGUG